This 368-nucleotide ribosomal RNA is filed under the name uncultured organism. RNAcentral's name for it is "bacterial SSU rRNA". It matches the Rfam family "Bacterial small subunit ribosomal RNA", at positions 526 to 896 of the family's 1533-position model. The record is from RNAcentral.
CGGAGGGUGCAAGCGUUAUCCGGAAUCAUUGGGUUUAAAGGGUCCGCAGGCGGACUUAUAAGUCAGUGGUGAAAGCCUACAGCUUAACUGUAGAACUGCCAUUGAUACUGUAAGUCUUGAAUUCGGUCGAAGUGGGCGGAAUAUGACAUGUAGCGGUGAAAUGCUUAGAUAUGUCAUAGAACACCGAUAGCGAAGGCAGCUCACUAGGCCUGGAUUGACGCUCAUGGACGAAAGCGUGGGGAGCAAACAGGAUUAGAUACCCUGGUAGUCCACGCCGUAAACUAUCAAUACUCGUUCUCGGCGAUAUACGGUCGGGGACUAAGCGAAAGUGAUAAGUAUUGCACCUGGGGAGUACGAUCGCAAGGUUG